UAUUAUUGCAGGACGAUGCAACUUGUAUAUCGGACAUGAAAGAGUCAUCUCUCAGAGUUUGGGAAUGAUUGGAAGUAAGACAAACCCACUAGUUCACUUUAUGAGCAAGUGGGUCAUGUACGUGAACGAGGCAGGACUACACGAUCACUGGUACAAGCAGGCAAUUCCCAAUUUCAGCAUGUGUGUGAAACUACCAAGCAAAGUGACUGUUAGCACAUCGUUUUCCAUCAACAACUCCUGGGCCAUGUUCGUGAUCCUGCUUACUGGGCUAGGAGCUGGUUUUAUCAUUUUCCUCACAGAACAUAUACACGCUCACAUUCGGCACCACGGUGAAUAGGGACCAAUUUCAGAUAUUUCUGAUAGAAUCUCCUGUAACUUAAGAUUUUCUUACACAGAAAGUUGUUACUGAUUGAAAAUACACAUGAUUAAGCCUCAA
Long non-coding RNA from Scylla paramamosain (green mud crab), 436 nucleotides. RefSeq lists it as uncharacterized. The transcript has 3 exons. Lineage: Eukaryota; Metazoa; Arthropoda; Malacostraca; Decapoda; Portunidae. The record is from RefSeq and is a predicted model, not a curated record.